GACGAACGCUGGCGGCGUGCUUAACACAUGCAAGUCGAACGGGCCUUGUCCCCUUUUUUUUUGGGGGUGGGGUUAGUGGCGAACGGGUGAGUAACACGUGAGUAACCUGCCCCUCACUUCUGGAUAACCGCUUGAAAGGGUGGCUAAUACGGGGUGUUCUGGCCUGCUCGCAUGGGUGGGUUUGGAAAGAUUCGACCGGUUUUGGUUGUUUUGGUGGGGGAUGGGCUCGCGGCCUAUCAGCUUGUUGGUGGGGUGAUGGCCUGCCAAGGCUUUGACGGGUAGCCGGCCUGAGAGGGUGGGCGAUCACACUGGGACUGAGACACGGCCCAGACUCCUACGGGAGGCAGCAGUGGGGAAUAUUGCACAAUGGGCGCAAGCCUGAUGCAGCGACGCCGCGUGAGGGAUGGAGGCCUUCGGGUUGUGAACCUCUUUCGCCAGUGAAGAAGGUCCUGCUCUUUGUGGUGGGGUUGACGGUAGCUGGGUUAAUGAAGCGCCGGCUAACUACGUG
RNAcentral lists this ribosomal RNA (508 nucleotides) under uncultured bacterium. RNAcentral describes it as "partial 16S ribosomal RNA". It matches the Rfam family "Bacterial small subunit ribosomal RNA", at positions 28 to 507 of the family's 1533-position model. The record is from RNAcentral.